AGAGCAAAUGGUGGAUGCCUUGGCUAGUAGAGGCGAUGAAAGACGUGCCAGGCUGCGAUAAGUCUCGGGGAGCCGUCAAGGGGCUUUGAUCCGGGAAUUUCUGAAUGGGGCAACCCAGUAUAUAGUGAUAUAUACUACCGCAAUGCGGAGCGAACGUUGGGAAUUGAAACAUCUUAGUACCAACAGGAAAAGAAAUCAAACGAGAUUACGCUAGUAGCGGCGAGCGAAAGCGUAAGAGGGCAAACCACUAGCUUGCUAGUGGGGUUGUAGGACUGCAAUAUAGACUUAAACAAUCUAAUAGAAUAAGUUGGAAAGCUUAAGCAUAGAGGGUGAUACUCCCGUAUAUGAAAGUGCGUUUAUACUUAGCAGUAUCCUGAGUAGGGCGGGACACGUGUAAUCCUGUCUGAAGCUGGGUAGACCACUAUCCAACCCUAAAUACUACUACUAGACCGAUAGUGCACAAGUACCGUGAGGGAAAGGUGAAAAGAACUGAGGUGAUCAGAGUGAAAUAGAACCUGAAACCAUUUGCUUACAAUCAUUCAGAGCCCUAUGAUUUAUCAGGGUGAUGGACUGCCUUUUGCAUAAUGAGCCUGCGAGUUGUGGUGUCUGGCGAGGUUAAGGAAACCCGGAGCCGUAGCGAAAGCGAGUCUUAAUAGGGCGUAUAGUCAGAUGCUGCAGACCCGAAACGAUGUGAUCUAUCCAUGAGCAGGUUGAAACUGGUGUAAGAGCCAGUGGAGGACCGAACAGACGGCCGUUGAAAAGGCUCCUGAUGACUUGUGGAUAGGGGUGAAAGGCCAAUCAAACAUCGUGAUAGCUGGUUCUCUCCGAAAUAUAUUUAGGUAUAGCGUUGUGUAGUAACUUUGUGAGGUAGAGCACUGAAUGGGCUAGGGCAUACACCAAUGUACCAAACCCUAUCAAACUCCGAAUGCGCAAAGUGUAAUCACAGCAGUCAGGCGGCGAGUGAUAAAAUCCGUCGUCGAGAGGGGAACAACCCAGACUAACAGCUAAGGUCCCUAAAUCUCAUUUAAGUGGAAAACGAUGUGGAGUUACUGAAACAACCAGGAGGUUGGCUUAGAAGCAGCCAUCCUUUAAAGAAAGCGUAAUAGCUCACUGGUCUAGUGAUUCUGCGCGGAAAAUAUAACGGGGCUAAAAUGAGUACCGAAGCUUUAGACUUAGUUUUUAACUAAGUGGUAGGAGAGCGUUCUAUUCAGCGUUGAAGGUAUACCGGUAAGGAGUGCUGGAGCGGAUAGAAGUGAGCAUGCAGGCAUGAGUAGCGAUAAAAGGGGUGAGAAUCCCCUUCGCCGUAAACCCAAGGUUUCCUACGCGAUGCUCGUCAUCGUAGGGUUAGUCGGGUCCUAAGCAAAGUCCGAAAGGGGUAUGCGAUGGAAAAUUGGUUAAUAUUCCAAUACCAAUUAUUAUGUGCGAUGGAAGGACGCUUAAAGUUAGUGGAGCUAGCGGAUGGAAGUGCUAGUCUAAGGGCGUAGGUUGAGUUAUAGGCAAAUCCGUAACUCUUUAUCCGAGACCUCAAAGGCUCUUGACGCUCUUCGGAGUAGAUGGAGAAUCCAUGAUACUAUCGAGCCAAGAAAAGUUUCUAAGUUUAGUAAUAAUUGCCCGUACCGUAAACCGACACAGGUGGGUGGGAUGAGUAUUCUAAGGCGCGUGGAAGAACUCUCUUUAAGGAACUCUGCAAAAUAGCACCGUAUCUUCGGUAUAAGGUGUGCCUAACUUUGUAUUAAGAUUUACUCCCAAAGCAUUGAAGGUUACAACAAAGAGUCCCUCCCGACUGUUUACCAUAAACACAGCACUCUGCUAACUCGUAAGAGGAUGUAUAGGGUGUGACGCCUGCCCGGUGCUCGAAGGUUAAUUGAUGGGGUUAGCAUUAGCGAAGCUCUUGAUCGAAGCCCGAGUAAACGGCGGCCGUAACUAUAACGGUCCUAAGGUAGCGAAAUUCCUUGUCGGUUAAAUACCGACCUGCAUGAAUGGCGUAACGAGAUGGGAGCUGUCUCAAAGAGGGAUCCAGUGAAAUUGUAGUGGAGGUGAAAAUUCCUCCUACCCGCGGCAAGACGGAAAGACCCCGUGGACCUUUACUACAGCUUGACACUGCUAUUUGGAUAAAGAUGCGCAGGAUAGGUGGGAGGCUUUGAUCCAUAGACUCUGGUUUAUGGUGAGCCAUUGUUGAGAUACCACUCUUCUUUAUUUGAGUAGCUAACUAGCCUAAGUUAUCCUUAGGUAGGACAAUGUCUGGUGGGUAGUUUGACUGGGGCGGUCGCCUCCCAAAGUGUAACGGAGGCUUACAAAGGUUGGCUCAGAACGGUUGGAAAUCGUUCGUAGAGUAUAAAGGCAUAAGCCAGCUUAACUGCGAGACGUACAUGUCAAGCAGAGACGAAAGUCGGUCUUAGUGAUCCGGUGGUUCUGUGUGGAAGGGCCAUCGCUCAAAGGAUAAAAGGUACCCCGGGGAUAACAGGCUGAUCUCCCCCAAGAGCUCACAUCGACGGGGAGGUUUGGCACCUCGAUGUCGGCUCAUCGCAUCCUGGGGCUGGAGCAGGUCCCAAGGGUAUGGCUGUUCGCCAUUUAAAGCGGUACGCGAGCUGGGUUCAGAACGUCGUGAGACAGUUCGGUCCCUAUCUGCCGUGGGCGUAAGAAGAUUGAGGAGAGUUGACCCUAGUACGAGAGGACCGGGUUGAACCAGCCACUGGUGUAUCAGUUGUUCUGCCAAGAGCAUCGCUGAGUAGCUAAGCUGGGAUGUGAUAAGAGCUGAAAGCAUCUAAGCUCGAAGCCAACUCCAAGAUGAAUCUUCUUUUAAGAGCUCUAGUAGACUACUAGUUUGAUAGGCUGGGUGUGUAAUGGAUGAGAGUCCUUUAGCUGACCAGUACUAAUAGCUCGUUUGCUUAUCUU
This is a ribosomal RNA of 2895 nucleotides. It matches the Rfam family "Bacterial large subunit ribosomal RNA".